GAUGAACGCUGGCGGCGUGCCUAAUACAUGCAAGUCGAGCGAACAGACGAGGAGCUUGCUCCUCUGACGUUAGCGGCGGACGGGUGAGUAACACGUGGAUAACCUACCUAUAAGACUGGGAUAACUUCGGGAAACCGGAGCUAAUACCGGAUAAUAUAUUGAACCGCAUGGUUCAAUAGUGAAAGACGGUUUUGCUGUCACUUAUAGAUGGAUCCGCGCCGCAUUAGCUAGUUGGUAAGGUAACGGCGUACCAAGGCAACGAUGCGUAGCCGACCUGAGAGGGUGAUCGGCCACACUGGAAGUGAGACACGGUCCAGACUCCUACGGGAGGCAGCAGUAGGGAAUCGUCCGCAAUGGGCGAAAGCCUGACGGAGCAACGCCGCGUGAGUGAUGAAGGUCUUCGGAUCGUAAAACUCUGUUAUUAGGGAAGAACAAAUGUGUAAGUAACUAUGCACGUCUUGACGGUACCUAAUCAGAAAGCCACGGCUAACUACGUG
Molecule: ribosomal RNA, 497 nt
Filed under: uncultured bacterium
Lineage: Bacteria
Description: partial 16S ribosomal RNA
Rfam family: Bacterial small subunit ribosomal RNA
Source: RNAcentral